RNAcentral lists this transfer RNA (52 nucleotides) under Metacrangonyx samanensis. RNAcentral's name for it is "transfer RNA Serine". Lineage: Eukaryota; Metazoa; Arthropoda; Malacostraca; Amphipoda; Metacrangonyctidae. The record is from RNAcentral.
AACUUCUUCUAAAUGUUUUGAAAACAUUAAAAAGACAAAUGUCUAGAAGUUU